CUCUAAACAAAGGCUACCUGUGAACAAUGGUAAUUGUUUACGUUCUCGACAGUGGACGUUGUUUACAGAAAAUUCAACCAUAUUUCCUGUACAAAGUUCGUUUAUUACUUGUACAAAAGCUUUCUAUUACAAGAAAGGAGAAAGGAGUAAAAUAUUUCUAUACUAGCAAACAAUAAAUCAUGGAAAUACACCGACUGCAUCAUACAUCAUCUUCUUUAUCCGGAGGCAGGUGAUCAGGAAGAGCUUUAUAUUCUCUAAAG
Molecule: long non-coding RNA, 260 nt
Organism: Centruroides sculpturatus (bark scorpion)
Lineage: Eukaryota; Metazoa; Arthropoda; Arachnida; Scorpiones; Buthidae
Exons: 2
Source: RefSeq, a predicted model, not a curated record